UGGGGGAUAUUGCACAAUGGGCGAAAGCCUGAUGCAGCGACGCCGCGUGGGGGAUGAAGGCCUUCGGGUUGUAAACUUCUUUUGCUCUGAACAAGGCAUGCCUUUGGGGUGUGUUGAGUGUAGGGGUUGAUUAGCGCCGGCUAAGUACGUGCCAGCAGCCGCGGUAAUACGUAGGGCGCGAGCGUUGUCCGGAAUUAUUGGGCGUAAAGGGCUUGUAGGUGGCUGGUUGCGUCUGUCGUGAAAGCUCAUGGCUUAACUGUGGGUUUGCGGUGGGUACGGGCUGGCUUGAGUGCAGUAGGGGAGGCUGGAAUUCCUGGUGUAGCGGUGGAAUGCGCAGAUAUCAGGAGGAAUACCGGUGGCGAAGGCGGGUCUCUGGGCUGUUACUGACGCUGAGGAGCGAAAGCGUGGGGAGCGAACAGG
Molecule: ribosomal RNA, 420 nt
Filed under: Fusobacteriota bacterium
Lineage: Bacteria; Fusobacteriati; Fusobacteriota
Description: Fusobacteria bacterium partial 16S ribosomal RNA
Rfam family: Bacterial small subunit ribosomal RNA
Source: RNAcentral